This 27-nucleotide non-coding RNA is filed under the name Homo sapiens (human). The record is from RNAcentral. Lineage: Eukaryota; Metazoa; Chordata; Mammalia; Primates; Hominidae.
UGAUCAGUCCCCCCCAGUGACCAAGCC